GAGGCAGGUAGGGUCGGGGUGCUAGCCGUGCCCCACACUGGAAAUCGGCUUCAUGCCAGGACCAGUAACCGCUGGGUAAAUCCGCUGGGAGGAGGUACCCGCUUGCCUUGCGGAAAUGAAAUCACGCCGUGUCGGAUGGUUAUGAGCAGCGAUCUGCGCGAAGGCGCGGCGUCGACUGCGCAUCGUCGAAAUGGGUGAGGUCCGGGAGGGAGCAACCCUAAGGCGGCGUAGCCAUGCUAGCACGUCUACGUGGUGGAUCUCGCAGGGCUUGAAAUGGGGCCUUUUGCCAACGGUGGUACCGGUGGGCUGCCUC
RNAcentral lists this signal recognition particle RNA (313 nucleotides) under Nitrososphaera viennensis. RNAcentral describes it as "signal recognition particle sRNA". It matches the Rfam family "Archaeal signal recognition particle RNA". The record is from RNAcentral. Lineage: Archaea; Thermoproteati; Nitrososphaerota; Nitrososphaeria; Nitrososphaerales; Nitrososphaeraceae.